GGGAGUGAAAUAGAACCUGAAACCCUGCACUUACAAGCUGUGGAAGCACAUUUCUUGUGUGACCGCGUACUUUUUGUAGAACGGGCCAACGAGUUACGUUAAGUAGCAAGGUUAAGCACUUAAGGUGCGGAGCCGUAGCGAAAGCGAGUUUUAACUGAGCGUUCAGUUACUUGACGGAGACCCGAAACCGGGCGACCUACCCAUGAGCAGGAUGAAGCGAAAGUAAAAUUUCGGGGAGGUCCGAACCCACGAGCGUUGAAAAGCUCGGGGAUGACUUGUGGGUAGCGGUGAAAUUCCAAUCGAGCCCGGAGAUAGCUGGUUCUCCCCGAAAUAGCUUUAGGGCUAGCCUCAAGGUGAGAGAUACGGAGGUAGAGCACUGAAUGUCCUAGGGGGUAUUGCACCUACCGAAGACUAUCAAACUCCGAAU
This 427-nucleotide ribosomal RNA is filed under the name Clostridioides difficile. Its description in RNAcentral is "bacterial LSU rRNA". It matches the Rfam family "Bacterial large subunit ribosomal RNA", at positions 534 to 961 of the family's 2925-position model. The record is from RNAcentral. Lineage: Bacteria; Bacillati; Bacillota; Clostridia; Peptostreptococcales; Peptostreptococcaceae.